GACAGAGGGUGCAAACGUUGUUCGGAAUUACUGGGCGUAAAGCGUGUGUAGGCGGCCACGUAAGCCGGAUGUGAAAGCCCCGGGCUCAACCCGGGAAGUGCACUCGAUACUGCGUGGCUUGAGUACUGGAGAGGUUGGUGGAAUUCUCGGUGUAGAGGUGAAAUUCGUAGAUAUCGAGAGGAACACCGGUGGCGAAGGCGGCCAACUGGACAGAUACUGACGCUGAGACACGAAAGCGUGGGGAGCAAACAGG
This 253-nucleotide ribosomal RNA is filed under the name uncultured bacterium. RNAcentral describes it as "partial 16S ribosomal RNA". It matches the Rfam family "Bacterial small subunit ribosomal RNA", at positions 524 to 776 of the family's 1533-position model. The record is from RNAcentral.